UGAGAGCCUAUGAUGGGUUUAAAUAUACUUUGAGAUCAAUGUCUAUGAAAAGAAAUUAAUCUGAGGCUUUCC
This is a non-coding RNA of Morus notabilis, 72 nucleotides long. The record is from Rfam. NCBI's taxonomy places the organism in Eukaryota, Viridiplantae, Streptophyta, Magnoliopsida, Rosales, Moraceae.